This 67-nucleotide transfer RNA is filed under the name Trachyrhamphus serratus. RNAcentral describes it as "tRNA-Tyr". It matches the Rfam family "tRNA". From Rfam's summary of the family: Transfer RNA (tRNA) molecules are approximately 80 nucleotides in length. Their secondary structure includes four short double-helical elements and three loops (D, anti-codon, and T loops). Further hydrogen bonds mediate the characteristic L-shaped molecular structure. tRNAs have two regions of fundamental functional importance: the anti-codon, which is responsible for specific mRNA codon recognition, and the 3' end, to which the tRNAs corresponding amino acid is attached (by aminoacyl-tRNA synthetases). tRNAs cope with the degeneracy of the genetic code in two manners: having more than one tRNA (with a specific anti-codon) for a particular amino acid; and 'wobble' base-pairing, i.e. permitting non-standard base-pairing at the 3rd anti-codon position. Lineage: Eukaryota; Metazoa; Chordata; Actinopteri; Syngnathiformes; Syngnathidae. The record is from RNAcentral.
GGUAGGAUGGCCGAGUAGGCGGUGGAUUGUAGUCCCAUGCACAGGGGUUUAAGCCCCCUUCGUACCA